RNAcentral lists this long non-coding RNA (367 nucleotides) under Helianthus annuus (common sunflower). Its description in RNAcentral is "hypothetical non coding rna". The record is from RNAcentral. Lineage: Eukaryota; Viridiplantae; Streptophyta; Magnoliopsida; Asterales; Asteraceae.
GUCACUCAUUCUCUUCUCUCAACUCUCAACUCUCAAGUCUCUAACUCUCAACACAGCCGAUUCAUCCCGACUCCGAGUCCGUCACCAGCCGUCACCGCCCGUCGCCAGCCUUCCCUUUCACGCCGGCGGCCCGGCCAUCACCCGUCGCCGGCCAUCCAUCAAUUCUUGGUAAUUAUGAGUGACCCACAAAAGAAGGUGGAAAAGGCGAAGGAUAAGAAAGCUAAAACAACGGUUUGAUUGUUUGGAAUUGAAGAUUUAAGAAGAAAGACCAAUUGGAACUUGGAAGUUUGGGACUUGAUAUUGUUUUCAAUAUAUGUUUUGAUUAGAAUUCUAUGUGUUUUUGUCUUAAAUUUGUUAAGGAGCAUGG